CCUACGGGCGGCAGCAGUGGGGAAUAUUACACAAUGGGCGCAAGCCUGAUGCAGCCAUGCCGCGUGUGUGAAGAAGGCCUUCGGGUUGUAAAGCACUUUCAGCGGGGAGGAAGGCGGUGAGGUUAAUAACCUCGUCGAUUGACGUUACCCGCAGAAGAAGCACCGGCUAACUCCGUGCCAGCAGCCGCGGUAAUACGGAGGGUGCAAGCGUUAAUCGGAAUUACUGGGCGUAAAGCGCACGCAGGCGGUCUGUCAAGUCGGAUGUGAAAUCCCCGGGCUCAACCUGGGAACUGCAUUCGAAACUGGCAGGCUAGAGUCUUGUAGAGGGGGGUAGAAUUCCGGGUGUAGCGGUGAAAUGCGUAGAGAUCUGGAGGAAUACCGGUGGCGAAGGCGGCCCCCUGGACAAAGACUGACGCUCAGGUGCGAAAGCGUGGGGAGCAAACAGGAUUAGAUACCCCAGUAGUC
RNAcentral lists this ribosomal RNA (465 nucleotides) under uncultured Klebsiella sp. RNAcentral describes it as "bacterial SSU rRNA". It matches the Rfam family "Bacterial small subunit ribosomal RNA", at positions 338 to 795 of the family's 1533-position model. The record is from RNAcentral. Lineage: Bacteria; Pseudomonadati; Pseudomonadota; Gammaproteobacteria; Enterobacterales; Enterobacteriaceae.